Molecule: ribosomal RNA, 432 nt
Filed under: uncultured archaeon
Lineage: Archaea
Description: bacterial SSU rRNA
Rfam family: Archaeal small subunit ribosomal RNA
Source: RNAcentral
UACCAGCACCCCGAGUGGUCGGGACGUUUAUUGGGCCUAAAGCAUCCGUAGCCGGUUCUACAAGUCUUCCGUUAAAUCCACCUGCUCAACAGAUGGGCUGCGGAAGAUACUAUAGAGCUAGGAGGCGGGAGAGGCAAGCGGUACUCGAUGGGUAGGGGUAAAAUCCGUUGAUCCAUUGAAGACCACCAGUGGCGAAGGCGGCUUGCCAGAACGCGCUCGACGGUGAGGGAUGAAAGCUGGGGGAGCAAACCGGAUUAGAUACCCGGGUAGUCCCAGCUGUAAACGAUGCAGACUCGGUGAUGAGUUGGCUUAUUGCUAACUCAGUGCCGCAGGGAAGCCGUUAAGUUCGCCGCCGUGGGGAGUACGGUCGCAAGACUAGAAACUUAAAGGAAUUGGCGGGGGAGCACCACGAAGGGGUGAAGCCUGCGGUUC